Molecule: long non-coding RNA, 481 nt
Organism: Felis catus (domestic cat)
Lineage: Eukaryota; Metazoa; Chordata; Mammalia; Carnivora; Felidae
Exons: 3
Source: RefSeq, a predicted model, not a curated record
CAGGCAGAGGCAGCAAGGAGUGGUGCAGAGGAUGUAUAUUUGGGGGUCCUGAAUGUAUCCAGACAAACAUAAGACCUCCAAAAGUGGGCCCCAGAAGACACAGCAACGGAUGUAAUAUUGUAAGUAUUUAUAGCUUAACUCUGAUGAAGAGAAAACGGAAGAUCAUUUGCUGGUAAAUCGCCAUGCGGAGAUGUAGAAUGUGAAUUCCACUAGUGGAAGCAAUAUUGCAGAUGUCCUGAUUUAUCAAGACGAACUUAUUGAAAGCUGUCAGCAAAGCUGUCCUAAAUCCAAUAACAAAUCGCCUCAGAAGUACAAGCUAAGGAAUACAAGCUAAGGCCUCUAAAAGCUGAAAGAGGCAAAGAAAGACUCUUCUUCCAGGUAAUUCUAAUGUUGAGAAUGUGUGAAUCUGAAGUAUCAAUAGGAAAUCCACCUUCUGUCUGGCCCCAAUGAAGGUGGGUAGGACCUGGACUGAGGAUACGGG